AUGAUGAUUUGUAAGACAGGUCUUCUGUUUUUAACCUUUUACCUGGCAGGUGUUGGUGGUCAGACUCUGACUGAAUCUGAACCAGUGGUUAAAAAGCCAGGAGAGUCCCACACCCUGACCUGUACAACCUCUGGUUUCACUUUUGGAGAUUAUUGGAUGUACUGGAUCAGACAAGCACCUGGGAAAGGUUUGGAAUGGGUUGCAACUAUCAGUUUUUGGGCUGGAAGUGACAAACGCUACUCUCAGUCGGUACGAGGCCGGUUCACCAUCUCCAGAGACAAUGGUAAACAGCAGGUGUUUCUGCAGAUGAACAGUCUGAAAACUGAAGAUUCAGCUGUUUAUUACUGCGCUCGAGGUGCACAGUGAUCAAAGUUGGUUUGGUAGCUGUACAAAAACAUGCAGCAACAAGUUGACAAACCUCAAACCUGAUGUCUAAAUUUGCUGUAAUGAAAGAACAUUUAUUUGACAAAGGUUUUUUUGUUUUUUCUUUAAAUGCAAGGAAAUAUGUGCAAGACAAAAAAGUGACAGGAAAACAACAAACAAAUAAAUAAAUGUUAAACAACGUGUGGAUGUAAAUAAAAAUUGUUUUGUACUUUCAGCUCCUUUCUCCAGUCAGCAAACGUAACCUGACUGUUACAUUACUGUGGCAGUAAAAUGAUUAACAUCAUCCAUUCAUAUUC
Xiphophorus hellerii (green swordtail) is the source of this 680-nucleotide non-coding RNA. Lineage: Eukaryota; Metazoa; Chordata; Actinopteri; Cyprinodontiformes; Poeciliidae. The record is from the annotation of a RefSeq genome assembly.